Molecule: long non-coding RNA, 1209 nt
Organism: Lemur catta (Ring-tailed lemur)
Lineage: Eukaryota; Metazoa; Chordata; Mammalia; Primates; Lemuridae
Exons: 3
Source: RefSeq, a predicted model, not a curated record
CAGAGAGUUCCCUCAGACUCUUCAGCCAGUCCCCCUAACGUGGACACUUACAUAACCACAGCACGAUUAUUUAAGACAGGAGGUUAACACGGACACGAUACUGUUAACUAAUCUUCAGACUUUGCCAGAAUUCCUCCAGUUUCCUACUCGUGGCCUUUUCCUGUGGGAUCCCACGUUGUGUUUUGCUGUGGGGCCUCCUCAGACUUCUGCAAUCUAGGACAGCCCCUAAGUCUCUGUUCAUCUUUCCUGACCGUGGCACUUUGGAGGAGUAGAGAGAGGUUAUUGUUUAGGAUGUCUCUCACUUUCUCUUUGUCUGACUUUUUUCUCAGGAAUAGACUGAGUUGGUGCAACUCUGGCAGGAAGACCAUGGAGAUGUUGGGUCCUUCUCAGCUCCUCGCACCAGGGUGUCCCUGCGGUCACUACAUCUGUAACUGGUGAUGCUAACCUUGGUCUCCAGGAUGUCGAUGAGCUGAGUCUGUGCACCGUCUCUGCCUGCCUUGCAGCUUUGGCAACAACACGCGCAUAAGCGGCUGUGACGGUUCCUUUUGUGUGUCAACUUGGCUGGGCCCAGUUGUAUCAUCAAACAUUAUUCUGGGUGCUUCUGUGAGGACCUUUUUGGGUAAGAUUGAUCUGUGGACUUGGAGUUAAGCAGACUGCCCACCCUAGUGUGGUGGGCCUCAGCCAAUCAGGCGAAGGAAUGGCACAAAGACUGACCUCCCACAAGCAAGAGGGGACCCUGCAGCAGACGCUUUCAGACACAGACCGCAACCUCGGCUCUGCCCCACGUCCGCAGCCUGCUGGCCCGCCCUGCAGAGUGUGAAUUUGCCUCCGUAAUCGCCUGACCCAGUUCCUCAAAAGAAAUCUGUGGCCUUUACAAAGCUCUUGGGCUCCUCGCACAUCACAGUCCCCCAGCCCCCAGCCCCAGGGCAAGGAAGCCUCCAGAGGUUUGUGACACAGGUAAUUCUCUCACAAGCAGAUGUAUUUUUGUAACAUUAUUCAAUACGCCUCGUCCUGGGGGGCACUGUCCAUCGAUUCUUGUUGGGAAGACUUUAGUUUCAAAACUAUUGUAAAGGAAAAAGGACUAGUCAAUUUCAUUGCUUUGUGACACUUCUGUGUCCUUGCGGGUAAAAAGGGAGGAAGGGGCUUUGUUCCCGUGUACCCUGUGCCCUUUCCCUGUAGUCACAAAUGUGUAAAUGGAUCAGUUUUUAC